CCCUAGUGGAAGCCGUGAGCGGGCCUCAGAGCAGACACCUGGCUCGGUGCCCACAGGGCUAUCCGCUCAGGUGGGCGCAUUUCCCCAAGAGGAGCCUUGCCACCUUGGCACUCAGCGCCCAUCACGAAUACAGGACAAUUUCAAAAGUACACAAUGGCAUAGAGAACAGUAUAAUCGACUCCCAUGGAUCCAUCACCCAGUUCCAACAUCUGUCAAUUCCUGGUCAACCUCAGUCUUCUGUUUGCCCACCCACUUCCAUUUCUUCUCCACUAGACUGAAGCAGACCAGCCAUCACAGCAUUCUAUCCAUAAAUCCUUCGGAGGGAGCGAAAUUAGAUCCACGUGUUCAAUCUGCUGACUCGCCGUGGAACUUCGGAAGGCACAACGUAUUAAACACAUCACUCAAAAGGACUAACAGUCACAUCAGG
Molecule: long non-coding RNA, 427 nt
Organism: Rhinolophus ferrumequinum (greater horseshoe bat)
Lineage: Eukaryota; Metazoa; Chordata; Mammalia; Chiroptera; Rhinolophidae
Exons: 3
Source: RefSeq, a predicted model, not a curated record